Molecule: long non-coding RNA, 1204 nt
Organism: Astatotilapia calliptera (eastern happy)
Lineage: Eukaryota; Metazoa; Chordata; Actinopteri; Cichliformes; Cichlidae
Source: Ensembl
GUCACAAAUUUGAGGAACCAGCCUUUAAGCAGCAGCCAUUUGGACUCUAUAAACAAUCAAAUCCUCUCCCUUUACCAUGACCUGGUUACGGGGUCCAAGGAGUUUCCUCAUAUUGCAGUCAGGGGAUUGUUUCACUCAGAGCAGAUGACGACAACUUUUACUGCUGUGCUGAAAAGUCAGAGGGAGAACACCACUCCAUCUCCUUCUACAAGCUCACCAGCUGGUAUGAUGGUGCUGCCUGCAGGGUGCCACUUACAUUCUCAGAUCCUGACUCCUGUACUUCCAGACAAGGUGGAUAUUUAUGCACUGAAUACAGACCGGAGGAACUGUGUCCACACCUUGGUGACGGCCUCAUCGUCACUAGAGUAAUCUCUGCUCUUGAUCGCACAGAAGACAGUGAGAUGACAAACCACUGGAGAGUCACGGACUACAGCUCAGAGGCAGAGUUAUCAUGUCGGAGUUCUGCCAGUUUCUAAAGACGUUUAGACAGGGUGCGAAGAGAGAGGCUACAGAGGACGAGAGCAGGAGCCCCACUCCACCAAGGAAACUGAAGCCUUCCCUGGAGAACUUAUUUUCUCAAGACUCUUUAAGUUUUAAGACUUUGGCAUUGAUUCCAUCAACUGCGUUGGACAUAUGGCAGGGCUGUGACUGGAUGUUGAACCAGGGACAUCUAUUGUAGAGCCAACUGUAAAUCGGUGCAAAAUGAAGUAAGGAUCCAUAAAGACAGUGCCAAGUGGAUCGGCAAGAAUCAAGAAAGUGAUGCCAGCUUUUCAUUUUUCAUUUCCGGUUCUGGUCUCUUCACUGUGCUGUGCUCCACCACUCCUGCAACCUAGAACUGGUCUAGUAACUUGUGUCUUACAGUAACAUAAGUGCUACAUAGGGGCUUUAGCUGUCUAGCUCAAAUUUCUCUCUACGAUGUAGGGUUUGGAUUUUCUCUCCUAAACUGAUCGUCUGGCAGUCUCCGCCGGUCGAUCUGCCUGAGUGUAUGUUUUUCUGUUUUGUUUUGGCUCCCCUGCCUUCUCCUGUAUGUGUGUUUUCCAGUGUGCCAGUUUAUGGGCGUCAUCAGGCCAGAAGGUCUUUCCCACGCUGAAGCCAGCCACACCUGUCUUUCAUCUAGAUUCCAGGUGCUGCUGAUCACUUUCGCAAAGUGGUUACUAAACUGUUUGACUGAGCUUGAGUCAACGCUGGAUCGUUCAGUUAUCGA